AUAUUUCACCAAAGAAGAUACAAAUGUCAAAUAUACACGAAAGACAGGCAGUAUAAUCAGGCAUUAGCAAAAUGUCAAUUAAAGCCACAGCGUAAAGCCGUACACCAAUUUGAACGGCAGAAAACCUUCCCCCAUGAAGCACCCACCGUGCUGCCGAGCUGCCGGUACCCCUUGGCAAAGGUGCAGAGCAACCGGAGCUCUCGUACGUGGCUUCGGAGAUUGAAUGUACAAGGGGACAAUGGCCAGAAUCCCGUACGAAAACAACCGGAUUCCACAGAAGUGGCAGCCAGCCAUGGGGCCAAACCCCACUUCUGCAGAAACCAGUCCAGGAAGUGGAAACACAAGCCCUGCGGUGACCGGCCCCAGAAGAUCUGGGCUAAGUCAGUAGCUGCCAGAUUUCUUCAUAAUCUCUGGCCUCACUUCCACCUAGAGCCGCCCAGAGACGGUCCAGUCUGCUCUGCAGGGAACCGCACCGGCUGCCUGGCGUCGAGCCCAUCUGCCCACAUCCUCUCCUCACCCCGCCAGCAGCCUCCGCAGCUUGCUCUUUCUUUCUUUCUCUUUCUUUCUUUCUUUCUUUCUUUCUUUCUUUCUUUCUUUCUUUCUUUCUUUCUUUCUUUCUUUCUUUCUUUCUUUCUUUUGUUGUUGACAGGCAGAGUGGACAGUGAGAGAGAGAGACAGAGAGAAAGGUCUUCCUUUGCCGUUGGUUCACCCUCCAAUGGCCGCCGCAGCUGGCGCACUGCGGCCGGCACGCUGCUGCCGGCAUACCGCGCUGAUCCGAUGGCAGGAGCCAGGUGCUUCUCCUGGUCUCCCAUGGGUGCAGGGCCCAAGCACUUGGGCCAUCCUCCACUGCACUCCCGGGCCACAGCAGAGAGCUGGCCUGGAAGAGGGGCAACCGGGACAGAAUCCGGCGCCCCGACCGGGACUAGAACCCGGUGUGCUGGCGCCGCAAGGUGGAGGAUUAGCCUAGUGAGCCGCGGCGCUGGCCCACAGCUUGCUCUUGGGCACCUGACCCCAGAAGCGGGCGGCACACCCCUCUGCACUCCCUGA
Molecule: long non-coding RNA, 1047 nt
Filed under: Oryctolagus cuniculus (rabbit)
Lineage: Eukaryota; Metazoa; Chordata; Mammalia; Lagomorpha; Leporidae
Description: lncRNA (ENSOCUG00000031478.1)
Source: RNAcentral